Long non-coding RNA from Eucalyptus grandis, 659 nucleotides. RefSeq lists it as uncharacterized. The record is from RefSeq and is a predicted model, not a curated record. The transcript is spliced from 3 exons. Lineage: Eukaryota; Viridiplantae; Streptophyta; Magnoliopsida; Myrtales; Myrtaceae.
AAUUGUAUACAUCUGUGCUUUGAUAACUUUCAGGCUAAAGCUGGAGCUGGCUCUGCAACUCCCUCAACGGUGUGUCCUUUUUUUGGCCCGUGAGUUGUAGUCUGAUCUCUUUCAUGAGCAGGAAAUCUGAUGGCUCUUUGAUAUGCUAACUCUUUCACAAGCUCAAAUAAUGUGAAAAUGAAAUAGCAGGCAUAUGCCGCUGUGAAGUUUGCCAACGUGUUGGCAUUGUCAGAGUGUGCACUUUGCUUCUCAAGGGAAAGAGCUUCCAUUCUUUGCAUCUAAAGUCGCCUUGGCCGUACUGGGGCCAAGGAGGUUCUUCUCAUUGGCUUGCUGAAUGAAGAUGGCUUUAAAAGGGCAAAGAAAGAGCUAGCGGCCAGCAUUCAGAAGGGCAUUUCAUUAAUCAAGAAGUGAGCAGGUUAAGGACGUGGCUUUACAAAGGAAAAAGACGUCUCUGCUUUCAUAGUUUCUGGCUAUUUUCUACUAAAAAUUGGUGACUUAGGAAUAAGUGGUUCAAACCAAACAAGAUAUCCAAGUUUAUUUUGCCUACAUGGCAUAGAAAACACAAAGGUUUUUCUUUUCUCGCAUGCAGUGUACUCAAAUGUUGGUCUGUGUAAUAACAUGGUGGACUGAUGUUGGUGUAUAUCAUUGUACUAUGUCCA